AUUGUCGAGGCCGAGUGGUUAAGGCGAUAGUCUAGAAAUCUUUUGUGAUCUUCCCGCGCAGGUUCGAAUCCUUCCAACAAAG
Molecule: transfer RNA, 82 nt
Filed under: Dreissena polymorpha
Lineage: Eukaryota; Metazoa; Mollusca; Bivalvia; Myida; Dreissenidae
Rfam family: tRNA
About the family: Transfer RNA (tRNA) molecules are approximately 80 nucleotides in length. Their secondary structure includes four short double-helical elements and three loops (D, anti-codon, and T loops). Further hydrogen bonds mediate the characteristic L-shaped molecular structure. tRNAs have two regions of fundamental functional importance: the anti-codon, which is responsible for specific mRNA codon recognition, and the 3' end, to which the tRNAs corresponding amino acid is attached (by aminoacyl-tRNA synthetases). tRNAs cope with the degeneracy of the genetic code in two manners: having more than one tRNA (with a specific anti-codon) for a particular amino acid; and 'wobble' base-pairing, i.e. permitting non-standard base-pairing at the 3rd anti-codon position.
Source: Rfam by way of RNAcentral